GACGAACGCUGGCGGCGUGCCUAAUACAUGCAAGUCGAACGCAGUGGGGACGGGGGAGUAACAAGUGGGUAACCUCCCAGCAGAGGGGAGAACACUUGGCAACAGGUGCUAAACCGAUACUGAUGGAUGGACCCGCGGGGGAUUAGCUAGUUGGUGGGGUAACGGCCCAGCAAGGCCACGAUGAAUAGCCGGCCUGAGAGGGUGACCGGCCACACUGGGACUGAGACACGGCCCAGACUCCUACGGGAGGCAGCAGUAGGGAAUCUUCGGCAAUGGACGAAAGUCUGAUCGAGCAACGCCGCGUGAGUGAAGAAGGUUUUCGGAUCGUAAAGCUCUGUUGUUAGAGAAGCGGUAUCUAACCAGAAAGCCACGGCUAACUCCGUGCCAGCAGCCGCGGUAAUUC
Molecule: ribosomal RNA, 403 nt
Filed under: uncultured bacterium
Lineage: Bacteria
Description: partial 16S ribosomal RNA
Rfam family: Bacterial small subunit ribosomal RNA
Source: RNAcentral